This 468-nucleotide ribosomal RNA is filed under the name uncultured bacterium. RNAcentral describes it as "partial 16S ribosomal RNA". It matches the Rfam family "Bacterial small subunit ribosomal RNA", at positions 28 to 507 of the family's 1533-position model. The record is from RNAcentral.
GACGAACGCUGGCGGCGUGCUUAACACAUGCAAGUCGAACGGAAAGGCCCUGCUUUUGUGGGGUGCUCGAGUGGCGAACGGGUGAGUAACACGUGCGUAACCUGCCCUUGACUUUGGGAUAACUUCCGGAAACUGGGGCUAAUACCGGAUAGGAGCUCCUGCUGCAUGGUGGGGGUUGGAAAGUUUCGGCGGUUGGGGAUGGACUCGCGGCUUAUCAGCUUGUUGGUGGGGUAGUGGCUUACCAAGGCUUUGACGGGUAGCCGGCCUGAGAGGGUGACCGGCCACAUUGGGACUGAGAUACGGCCCAGACUCCUACGGGAGGCAGCAGUGGGGAAUAUUGCACAAUGGGCGGAAGCCUGAUGCAGCAACGCCGCGUGCGGGAUGACGGCCUUCGGGUUGUAAACCGCUUUCGCCUGGGACGAAGCGUGAGUGACGGUAAUGGGUAAAGAAGCACCGGCUAACUACGUG